UACGGAGGGUGCAAGCGUUGUCCGGAUUUAUUGGGUUUAAAGGGUGCGCAGGUGGGUUGGUAAGUCUGGUUUGAAAGUUGGUCGCUUAACGAUCAAGGGUGGCUGGAUACUGCUGAUCUUGAAUGGACUGGAGGGCGCUGGAACGGGUCGUGUAGCGGUGAAAUGCAUAGAUAUGACCCAGAACACCAAUUGCGAAGGCAGGCGCCUACGGUCUGAUUGACACUGAGGCACGAGAGCAUGGGGAGCGAACAGG
This 253-nucleotide ribosomal RNA is filed under the name uncultured bacterium. RNAcentral describes it as "partial 16S ribosomal RNA". It matches the Rfam family "Bacterial small subunit ribosomal RNA", at positions 524 to 776 of the family's 1533-position model. The record is from RNAcentral.